Molecule: long non-coding RNA, 1412 nt
Filed under: Phoenix dactylifera (date palm)
Lineage: Eukaryota; Viridiplantae; Streptophyta; Magnoliopsida; Arecales; Arecaceae
Description: long non-coding RNA (PDAC_LNC004874)
Source: RNAcentral
UAGCCUAUGUGGACUAGUAGAUAUUGUAGCACGGGUUAAUGAGGGUUGACCACAGACUUAUCAUAGUACUUAUAAUUAUAUUUGAAUGGAUUUGGACCUUGAACCUAACGAGGAUGUCUGGACUUAAAUGGAGUGAGUAUCUAAAGAUCGAUGUGGACGUAUGUUUAGUCCCACAUUGGCUAUGCACUAGGUAGAUUUUGGAGACUUACAAGACCAAGAAAUCCAAAUAAUAUUUUUUGGCUAGCCUUUUUAGGUGAGGUACUGUGUUGUAACAUUUUGUGACCCUCUCACUCUUUGAGCACUCUUGCUUAUUAGAUCUUCCUUAUAUAUAUAUAUAUGUGUGUGUGUGUGGAAUUUGGCCACCCAUCAAUCAGUGCUAAAUCCUUCUGCAACAUCUACAAAAGGCACUACCUUAAAGAUGGUAUAUCGAGUGUGCACUCCUUCGUUCUUGAGUCAUAAAGGUCAGGCACUUGUCUAGGCACUUCAGGAGAAGUCUUUUAAAAGAGGGGAAAAGGAUUCUAGCCCCACCUACUAGGCUGGGUUCCUCUUAAAUUUCUUGACAGCCUACCGAUGUAUAUCUGUAUGCAUAUCAUUAUAUAAAUGCAUGCAUGCAUGCAUGCAUUUUUAUGUAUAUGUAUAUGUAUACAUAUAUGUAUACGUAGAUAUAUGUAUGUAUAUGUAUGCAUGCAUUGCAUUUGUGUAUGCAUGUACUAUAAAUAAUCUUACUAAGCCAUGAUAAAAAUCACAUAUCGAUUCUUUGACAAAGGAGGCACUGUUUGCCCUAUGUCUAGAACUAUUCAGAGGUUUAAAAAUCCCAGAAAAUUAAAGGUCUUAUGUGUUUGGCGGUUAGAAAUAAAUGACAUAUAAAGAGGUGCUUUGGCUUGGAAAGGUUAGCCAGGUAGCAUGAUCUAUAUCUUGUGCAAGAUAUCUUUAGAGAAUAGAAGGGAGACCUCUCAACUCGUGUUUUGGCUAAGCUUCUCUUUUCUUCUUUUUUCCCUCAGUUGAAUGGGUGUCAAGUGUUGCUAUCGUUUUCAAGUGUUUCUAUUUAUAUUUACUUUACUAAAAAAUGGUUUAUAUCUCAAUGAAGUAGGGUAGGUUUUCCUGCAUUGCUAUUUUAUCUUUUUUUACUUAAUUAUGCAUUUUAAAAUUGAAUUAUCUUUGAAUGAUUUUUCAUGGAAUUUUAAAAUUUAAUUAUCUUUGAAUGAUUUAUGGAAAUUGAUCAGAUUGUGAGUGUGCAUGUUCCAAGAUUUUCUUAGUGGCUUGUUAUAAAAUUAGUCAGAUAUACACGGAAGAAAUAUAUGCUGCUUCAAGUGAAUCUCUUGAAUGAUUUGAAUAUAUAACAUAAUAACUUUUAAAUAUAGUUACCAUUUAUUCAGACAAACCAGUGGGUGGUUCGGAGCGCCACCCAGCAU